Molecule: transfer RNA, 73 nt
Filed under: Craugastor cf. fitzingeri SIUC H-06964
Lineage: Eukaryota; Metazoa; Chordata; Amphibia; Anura; Craugastoridae
Description: tRNA-Asx
Source: RNAcentral
UAGAAUGAAGCCCGCUGGAUUGGGUUUUUAGCUGUUAAUUAAAUUUUUACGGGAUCAAGGCCCGUCAUUCUAG